RNAcentral lists this ribosomal RNA (491 nucleotides) under uncultured bacterium. RNAcentral describes it as "partial 16S ribosomal RNA". It matches the Rfam family "Bacterial small subunit ribosomal RNA", at positions 29 to 507 of the family's 1533-position model. The record is from RNAcentral.
GUGAACGCUGGCGGUAGGCCUAACACCUGCAAGUCGCACGGCAGCACAGUAAGAGCUUGCUCUUACGGGUGGCGAGUGGCGGACGGGUGAGGAAUACAUCGGAAUCUACUUUUUCGUGGGGGAUAACGUAGGGAAACUUACGCUAAUACCGCAUACGACCUACGGUUGAAAGCAGGGGAUCUUCGGACCUUGCGCGAUUGAAUGAGCCGAUGUCGGAUUAGCUAGUUGGCGGGGUAAAGGCCCACCAAGGCGACGAUCCGUAGCUGGUCUGAGAGGAUGAUCAGCCACACUGGAACUGAGACACGGUCCAGACUCCUACGGGAGGCAGCAGUGGGGAAUAUUGGACAAUGGGCGCAAGCCUGAUCCAGCCAUACCGCGUGGGUGAAGAAGGCCUUCGGGUUGUAAAGACCUUUUGUUGGGAAAGAAAAGCAGCAGGUUAAUACCCCGCUGUUCUGACGGUACCCAAAGAAUAAGCACCGGCUAACUUCGUG